This 834-nucleotide ribosomal RNA is filed under the name uncultured crenarchaeote. Its description in RNAcentral is "bacterial SSU rRNA". It matches the Rfam family "Archaeal small subunit ribosomal RNA", at positions 85 to 922 of the family's 1478-position model. The record is from RNAcentral. Lineage: Archaea; Thermoproteati; Thermoproteota.
ACUGCUCAGUAACACGUAGUCAACAUGCCCAGAGGACGUGGAUAACCUCGGGAAACUGAGGAUAAACCGCGAUAGGUCAUGAUUUCUGGAAUGGUUCAUGGCCGAAAUCUAUAUGGCCUUUGGAUUGGACUGCGGCCGAUCAGGCUGUUGGUGAGGUAAUGGCCCACCAAACCUGUUACCGGUACGGGCUCUGAGAGGAGGAGCCCGGAGAUGGGCACUGAGACAAGGGCCCAGGCCCUAUGGGGCGCAGCAGGCGCGAAACCUCUGCAAUAGGCGAAAGCUUGACAGGGUUACUCUGAGUGAUUUCCGCUAAGGAGAUCUUUUGACACCUCUAAAAAUGGUGUAGAAUAAGGGGUGGGCAAGUCUGGUGUCAGCCGCCGCGGUAAUACCAGCACCCCGAGUGGUCGGGACGAUUAUUGGGCCUAAAGCAUCCGUAGCCGGUCCUACAAGUCUUCCGUUAAAUCCACCUGCUCAACAGAUGGGCUGCGGAAGAUACUAUAGGGCUAGGAGGCGGGAGAGGCAAGCGGUACUCAGUGGGUAGGGGUAAAAUCCUCUGAUCCAUUGAAGACCACCAGUGGCGAAGGCGGCUUGCCAGAGCGCGCUCGACGGUGAGGGAUGAAAGCUGGGGGAGCAAACCGGAUUAGAUACCCGGGUAGUCCCAGCUGUAAACGAUGCAGACUCGGUGAUGGGUUGGCCUUGUGCCAACCCAGUGCCGCAGGGAAGCCGUUAAGUCUGCCGCCUGGGGAGUACGGUCGCAAGACUGAAACUUAAAGGAAUUGGCGGGGGAGCACCACAAGGGGUGAAGCCUGCGGUUCAAUUGGAGUCAACGCCGGG